UUUGAACUCGUCUCCUGACCACCCGGAACAUGACUCAAUAAGGUUCCAACUGUCUCCCAUGUGGAUUCAUUCAUAAUUAAGUUAAGACAUGUGCUUUAGUCUCUACAGUUAUACUUUUAACCGAGACUAAAUCGGUGAUUUGCAGGAAAAUCGUCAUUAAACUUCUCAUAGGUAAGGGUCCUGAUGCAAAGCUAAAGAGGGCUGAAAUCAAAGAAGCAGUUCUCU
Molecule: long non-coding RNA, 225 nt
Filed under: Linum usitatissimum (flax)
Lineage: Eukaryota; Viridiplantae; Streptophyta; Magnoliopsida; Malpighiales; Linaceae
Description: long non-coding RNA (LUSI_LNC000287)
Source: RNAcentral